CCUACGGGGGGCUGCAGUCGAGAAUUUUUCACAAUGGGCGCAAGCCUGAUGGAGCGACGCCGCGUGGGGGAUGAAUGGCUUCGGCCCGUAAACCCCUGUCAUUUGCGAUCAAACCUUGCUAUUUAAAAGAUGGCGAGCUGAUAGUAGCGAAAGAGGAAGGGACGGCUAAAUCUGUGCCAGCAGCCGCGGUAAUACAGAGGUCCCAAGCGUGGUUCGGAUUCGCUGGGCGUAAAGGGUGCGUAGGGGGUGGGAAAUCUCGGGGCUCAACUCCGAAAUGGCAUUGGAAACUACCCUGCUAGAGGGUCGGAGGGGGGACUGGAAUUCUCGGUGUAGCAGUGAAAUGCGUAGAUAUCGAGAGGAACACCAGUGGCGAAGGCGAGUCCCUGGACGACUCCUGACACUGAGGCACGAAAGCUAGGGGAGCGAACGGGAUUAGAUACCCCUGUAGUC
This 450-nucleotide ribosomal RNA is filed under the name uncultured bacterium. RNAcentral's name for it is "partial 16S ribosomal RNA". It matches the Rfam family "Bacterial small subunit ribosomal RNA", at positions 338 to 795 of the family's 1533-position model. The record is from RNAcentral.